UUUGUCCUACGGGGGGCAGCAGUGGGGAAUAUUGCACAAUGGGGGAAACCCUGAUGCAGCGACGCCGCGUGAGUGAAGAAGUAUUUCGGUACGUAAAGCUCUAUCAGCAGGGAAGAAAAAAAGUCCUUUGGACUUUGGACGGUACCUGACCAAGAAGCCCCGGCUAACUACGUGCCAGCAGCCGCGGUAAUACGUAGGGGGCAAGCGUUAUCCGGAUUUACUGGGUGUAAAGGGAGCGUAGACGGAGGAGCAAGUCUGAUGUGAAAAUCCGGGGCCCAACCCCGGAACUGCAUUGGAAACUGUUU
Molecule: ribosomal RNA, 305 nt
Filed under: uncultured bacterium
Lineage: Bacteria
Description: partial 16S ribosomal RNA
Rfam family: Bacterial small subunit ribosomal RNA
Source: RNAcentral